This 497-nucleotide ribosomal RNA is filed under the name uncultured bacterium. RNAcentral's name for it is "partial 16S ribosomal RNA". It matches the Rfam family "Bacterial small subunit ribosomal RNA", at positions 28 to 507 of the family's 1533-position model. The record is from RNAcentral.
GACGAACGCUGGCGGCGUGCCUAAUACAUGCAAGUUGAGCGCUGAAGGUUGGUACUUGUACCAACUGGAUGAGCAGCGAACGGGUGAGUAACGCGUGGGGAAUCUGCCUUUGAGCGGGGGACAACAUUUGGAAACGAAUGCUAAUGCCGCAUAAAAACUUUAAACACAAGUUUUAAGUUUGAAAGAUGCAAUUGCAUCACUCAAAGAUGAUCCCUCGUUGUAUUAGCUAGUUGGUGAGGUAAAGGCUCACCAAGGCGAUGAUACAUAGCCGACCUGAGAGGGUGAUCGGCCACAUUGGGACUGAGACACGGCCCAAACUCCUACGGGAGGCAGCAGUAGGGGAUCUUCGGCAAUGGACGAAAGUCUGACCGAGCAACGCCGCGUGAGUGAAGAAGGUUUUCGGAUCGUAAAACUCUGUUGGUAGAGAAGAACGUUGGUGAGAGUGGAAAGCUCAUCAAGUGACGGUAACUACCCAGAAAGGGACGGCUAACUACGUG